RNAcentral lists this long non-coding RNA (5343 nucleotides) under Equus asinus (donkey). RNAcentral describes it as "lncRNA (ENSEASG00005002013.2)". Lineage: Eukaryota; Metazoa; Chordata; Mammalia; Perissodactyla; Equidae. The record is from RNAcentral.
GAAAUUCCACUGUUCUUUUGUAACAUAACCACUGAUUUAAAGUGGGCCUAUAGCUGCCCACAUGGCCCAGUCUCUUUGGCAAACAAGUAUGACUAUGUCCAUUUUGGAAGAAGUUUGGAAGUGAUGUGUGUAACUUUUAGGACACAUCUUUAAAGGGAGGGACCAUAUCUCCCUGAAUCUUAGGCUUUCCUGCCUACUAAGCUGGACACCUAUGAAUCGUCUGGAAACAUGUGGAUGAGGGCAACAUCCUAAAAAUGGCAGAGCAACUAGAAACAACCACCUUGGUCUCUGACACCAUGGAGUCAUUACACCAAUCCUGAUUGUCCCGGAGUUAACAUCUGUGCCAGUCUUCCCCUGUUUUGUAUCUGGGACACUGUCACAGCAUGGCUUGAUGAACAGCGUGCAGGUCUGCACCUGGGGUCUGAACCCAUGAACCCUGGCGCCCUGAAGCAGAGCAGAUGGUAAUGACCUGCUGUGGUGAUCACUAGGCGAUGCAUACAAAUGUUGAAUCAUGAAGUUGUACACCUGAAACCAAUAUAAUAUUGCAUUCUGAGACCAACUUAGCUGUUGUUUCUCUUCAAUGAGUCUUCAACUUUAUACUUAAGAAUCAAGCAUUUCGCUGGAAUAUGUCUACAUUAAGUAUCUCCAUUUAUUUUCCUGAGUCAUGAAAGAAGAGGGUUGACCAGUUAUUCUCCGAGGUCCUUUUCAGUGUCGCUCGUCAAGGACUGGUUGGCUUAUCACCUGAGUCUAAAAACGUACCUGGCACAUAGUGACUGCUCAGUAUGUAUCUGUUGAAUAAGUGCAUGCUGGUAUGCAACAAAAGAGCCAGCAAGAGAAAUGGCUACGUGUUGUAUCUCUGGGGAGAAAGACUGGUGAUGAGCGAGGAGGACAGGACCCUCCCCUCUCAUCUGAUACAAGUGUUUUUACUCUGUGUGUAUUACGUUUAUUAUAAACUGUUUUAAAGACAUUGUGGCUGGAUCCUGAUCUAAAAUAUAUCAGUAUCCUAUGCACAUUUAAUCUAUAUUUAAUUUUAUUUCUUCCACUUCAAUCUACUUUGCUUCUGAUCAUAAAUGGAAAUGAGCCAGCAGAAAGGAGAUGGCAUCUAUCCAUUCUGCAUCCAUGCGAGAGUUCAGUGUUCUGGAACCUGAAUGCCAUGAACCCUCACUAAUGACCAUAGAUAGGAACCUAGGAAAAUACUUUUAUAUGAAUUAAUUGAAAUGAUACAAAUUAAAAAUGUGGCUAAUGUGAAUGUGAAUGCAAAUACAAGUAGAUACAAUCAAUUUAGCUGAAUGCACCAGACCAUUCAUGUGGCCACAAUUCCUCAAGCCCCACUAACUUUAAAUAUUUUCUAUAUCUGGCCAGCUUCAUUUACGUCUCUUCAGCAGCCUGCUUAGUGUGGAAGAACUGAAGUAGGAGAAAAGACCCACGGCGUGUUGGGCAACACUGAAGAAGAGCGAUUGAGUUAACACAUAACUUCUACCUGAUUGUUACCCCUGGCAGGUGUUUCAUCUUCCCAAAUGAAGUAUUUGGGGAUGAAAAAAAUUUCAGAUCUGCGAAUUUCUUGGUUGUGUGAUAUUAUAGACAUGAAAAAUAGACAACUAACAAGGAGAUAUCCUUAAAUGAGGGCACAGAAGCAUUUGCAUCAGUGAAAAAACGAAAAAUGCCUUUGCUUUCCCUCCUGUUCCCCACACUACGUGCACACACACGUACUCCUAACUCACACACACACACAUCUAAUUCUUUCUCACACACACCCCCAUGCACGCAGACAGGCACCCCUUCCCCUCAAUUCCUCACCCCAGGACUCGGAUGAUCAAUGCCCAGGCUCAGCCUUGCUCCUGCUGAAGUCACAUGUGAGUUCUAACAAACCCCCUCUAAAGCUGUCUCCUAUCACAUGCUCUUCAGGACAGGAUGAACACAUCCCCCGAAAACCAUGUUUUCUUUGCAUCCUAACUGAAAUGGCAUUAAAGGGGGAAAUAGGAAUUCAGCGCUGCCAGCUACGGUAUCUCUCCUAUCAGUUCACCAGUAAGGCCUGGUAGGGACCUGCCGAGCCUCUGGAUAAAUUGUAUUUUCCAAGGGUUAAUUAAGCUGUCUUGAGCUUCUGCAUGAAGAGGAACAAACUGGCACUUGCAGCGCUUUCUGAAACCUGCUGUCGACAUUACAGUCCCUGCUGCUUUUAGCUGUAUCGAUCCGAUGCCUGACCUGUGAAAUCCUUGAUGGCUGCUAACACUAGAAGCUUACUGGAGCUUUCCAAGGGAGCUUCGGGACAGCUUGUGUAGUCAGGUACAAUUACCUAUCCCUCCAGGAGAGCCAAUUAGUUCACAAAGAGCUGGAGCAGAACAAAUGUUUUGUAUGUGAUUUAGAAUCCUAAAAAAGAAAGGAGAAAAAAGAAAAAAAGGCUUUUGUUCUGUGUGAUUCUUUUGUUCCUAAUUUUAUGAUUAUUGUUUGAUUAGCAGUGGUCCUCACAUUUCCUCACAUGUUUUGGAAAGAAUUAUAAGAACAUGAUAAACUAGAUUUACAGUCUUCUCUUUAAACUACGAAAAUUGCCUUGUGCCAUUUAUGAUCCAGUUUCUGGACUAAUUGUAUCAGCUCAAAGGUAGGAAGCCCAAGUUUGUUCUACUUUCUGCAUUUCAGAAACUUUUUCUCUAAAUAGUACAAUAAAUUUUAAUCGCAAUGAAUUGGUCCCUUAAAAAAAAAGGGUGAAUGGCAACUACUUCUGAAACUAGGCUUUGCAGGUGGAAUGUAAGAAUAGGAGAUUCCUAGGCAGAAAUAUGCUGCACUUAUCCAGCCAUUAUCAACAUGAGCAUGAUUGAUUCUGAAACCAGUACAGCUAAACUUUACAGAUUGUCAACUAACAAAGUGUGAUGCCCUUUGAAUAAAAAGGUGGCACAACUGAUAUAUCAUCUGUAUGCCCUGAGCCUUGGACUGCUUUCCCAGUAACAGGUGUUAGUGUUACUGAGAUAUUUAUACCUCCUUGCACAUUUUCCUUUGUGACCAGUGAUAUCCAUUUACGAGCUAGCUGCAGAACGUGGUCUGUCCAUUAAAUACAUUUUUUUCUUUAUGUUUUUCUCUGAAUAUGAUCUUGACCAUACAGGGAUCAAUCAUUAGCCCUCAAAGCAUAGUGUGCCAAUAGAAUUAACUGCAAAUGCAAUUUAAUGAAUUCUAAUACUAAAUAAGCAUCAAAAUGAGGGAAAACGGCAAUCAGUUAUUAUUUUUAAUAAUGGAGAGAAAAUUUAAAAAUCUGGUUUCAAGUGUUCUUUCAAUAAAAUAAAAUCAUUUCUCUAUCUAUGACUGCAUGGUAGCUAUGAAAUAAACUGGAACCAGAAAUUUAAUGCAAAAAAGGUAUCAGAUUUAUUUAUCAUAGAAGACUUUGGUCCCAGCUUAGAAGAAGAUAAUAUAAACAUUUGUUUCCUAUUUCUGAAAGGAAGUAAAAUAAAAUUGCCAAGAAGAUUUCAUCGUAUUUUAGAAGUAAAUGAUCUAUAGUAAAAUCAGUCUCUGGACCUAAACUAGAGUGAAAAGUGCAAAGACAGUAAAACAAAAUUAAAAAAUCCGUCGGUUGUGUUUUACCUUAGCUGCUCUUAGUAAAAUCUGGUUUUAUUAAUUGGUAAUAAAGUGAUAAUUGCACAAAGAGAAGUAAGGGCCUAAUAUGGACCUGAGGCAGGUGGAACUAUAAGCCUGCUUACAUGGAGGCAGAAGGCAGGAGCCUGGGUGUUUGUCAAUGUCUGUGCCAGAGAACUUCUGGGGUCCUGAGCAGGCCUGGUGUUUGUCCCAGUGAUGCAGGCAGGGUCAACGAAAGCAGAUUCAUGUUGCCUCAGCUUCUCCAUCUGGAGGCGUAAUUGCAUGAAGAGGGAGAUGACAGAGCUCAAUCUUUUACUGGUCUGUUUGUGAAAUGGAUUGGGAACUUGGCACUGAUGGUAUUCUGCUGCUUCAAAUGCUUUCCUCUCUCCCUUAUUAAUGUCAAGUAAUGUUGAGACCACUCCAUUCGGGUGUUGGAAAGGAGUUGAUAACAGUUUCCAGUACUGAAGAGUCUUAACAUACCCAGUUUUGUAACCGGAAAAAAAUGACCCUGCAUGAUUAAGGGCGAAAUUCACUAGUCUUUCAGUUGGUAAGAGGCAAGCAGAUCGUCCAUUCCUUUGGUGGUCUACGUUUUGGUUCAAGGAUAAAUGUUGUGAAAAUGAGAUCAAAGCUCUGGGUUUGAUUUCUCUAGAGUCUUCUGUUUUGUUGCAUGACCACUCAUCGUAGCCUUGUCCCAUCCAGAUGAUUUGCACAUGUUGCAAGUUGUGCUCUGAGAAAACACUGGGCGGGUUGUCAAAAUCCUUUACUUUCACUGGAAACACAAGCUAAAGUUGGGGUCAGUAGUGUAAACCUAAAAUAUGAGGGUUACUUAUUUAUUAAUGUGUCGUACCUACACGUCAUUUGUUCUUCAAAAUAUGUCGUAUACAAGAGAAAAAGAAUUUUCAAAGUACAGUGAAAAUUCUGAAGACAAAUUUUCUUCACAAUCAUUCUUUGAAAGAGAUAGUAAGAGUUUAGUAAACUCUUUCUCAAGGUAUAUAUAGGCCUUCAGAAGAGAAUAUGACUUUAGUUUUAAUAGUUAUAAGGGCUAUCAUCAAAGUUAAUCUAGAACCUACAGAUAUAAAUUAAAGACAUCAAUAGAGCUGACAGUUUUCCUGCCAUUUUCUCACCUCCUUCUAUUGUCUCCUAUUAAGAGAGAGAAUAACUUCCUCAGGAUUCAACUUGAAAGCUUUCAAUCUAUUUAACAGAAUGAAGUACACUAUGAUCUGAUUUUUCUAAAUCAUAAGAGGCUUUAGAGCUAAAUCCUGAAGACACAAAUUACAAACAAGAUUGCAAGUGACAAUUUCAUGUUUGAAAUAUCAGGUUCAUAAUAUAUAACACAAUAGCAAGGAUUUUAAAACUAUGCUUUUAUAAGGGAGUAGCAAGUUGGUGAAGCCUGGAGAAUCAGUCUCUGAAAGCUUCAUUUCUAAAGUAUCAAGAAUAUUCUUCUUGUGGGAAAAUUGCUGCUGAUAUCCAUUAAGUGCCUGCUUUCUCCUCCAACCAGAGUGUAGAGUCUACGUUUUUAACCUCUGAGACAUGCCUGGAAGUAGAACUAAGUGUGAUUCUUCAUGUAAAGACUACAAGGAAGAGAAAAAAUUGGAUUUCCCAAACUUGAUAGAGGACUAUCCAGUUCAUUCCUGGACUAAUGAAUCGAAAGGAAAAUGUCUUCUCAAUAGUUAGAAUCCACAUAUAGACAUGGGACAAUGAGCAAAGAUGAAGCAAAUCUAUCAUAAAAAAAGUUAUGGCAAACUCUCAAAAUGAGCCUAAAUGGAGAAAAACAGGUAUUUACAA